RNAcentral lists this ribosomal RNA (565 nucleotides) under uncultured bacterium. Its description in RNAcentral is "bacterial SSU rRNA". It matches the Rfam family "Bacterial small subunit ribosomal RNA", at positions 358 to 917 of the family's 1533-position model. The record is from RNAcentral.
GGGAUCUUGCGCAUGGGCGAAGCCUGNGCAGCGACGCCGCGUGGGGGAAGAAGGCUUUCGGGUUGUAAACCCCUUUCAGGAAGGACGAAGCUACUCGGGUGAAUAGCCCAGAGGGUGACGGUACUUCCAGAAGAAGCCCCGGCUAACUACGUGCCAGCAGCCGCGGUAAUACNGUAGGGGGCAAGCGUUGUCCGGAUUUAUUGGGCGUAAAGAGCGUGUAGGCGGUUUGGUAGGUCCGCUGUGAAAACUCGAGGCUCAACCUCGAGACGCCGGUGGAAACCAUCAGACUAGAGUCCGGAAGAGGAGAGUGGAAUUCCUGGUGUAGCGGUGAAAUGCGCAGAUAUCAGGAAGAACACCCGUGGCUAAGGCGGCUCUCUAGUACGGUACUGACGCUGAGACGCGAAAGCGUGGGGAGCGAACAGGAUUAGAUACCCUGGUAGUCCACGCCGUAAACGAUGGGUGCUAGGUGUAGGGGGUGUCGACUCCCUCUGUGCCGAAGCUAACGCAUUAAGCACCCCGCCUGGGGAGUACGGCCGCAAGGCUAAAACUCAAAGAAAUUGACGGA